This 103-nucleotide non-coding RNA is filed under the name Nicotiana sylvestris (wood tobacco). RNAcentral also lists the same sequence under 1 other name. Lineage: Eukaryota; Viridiplantae; Streptophyta; Magnoliopsida; Solanales; Solanaceae. The record is from Rfam by way of RNAcentral.
GUUGUUGUUCAUCAUUAUUAUGAAGAUUGAAUUCGUCAAGUGUGAGAUUGUUCACCCACAAAUAUGGAUCAUGAGUUGGGUUUAGAUCGUUGUGAUACUGAUU